UUGAAAAAGAGAACCAAAGAAUUCGAGAUUCGACAGGACCAAACAAAAUUGGUCCUCCUUAAAGUCUUUGCUCCAUUCCCGUUACAUGACAAUAAGCAAAGAGGGGCAGCUGUAGAAGCUCAAUUUCGUCCGGCCUAAUAAAAUAAUAAUAAUAAUAAUAAUAAAAGUCCAUUAAAUAGUCCAUAUUAAAAGCCCAAAUACAAAAAAAAAAAAACUAAAAGCCCAAAAAACCCUUAAAGCCCAAAGACCACUUUCUAAACUUAAACAAAAAGAAACCUUAAUCCCCUAAGACUUCACCAGCCGUCGCCGCUUAUCAGCUUUUCCAUAUCAGCGGGCACGCCUCCCGAAGUCCCCACACCUCGAGGUUUUCCUCUUCUGCCACCAUUUCACCAAAAUGGCAAGGGGCGUGCCUCUCCACCACCGUUGACUCAACCCUUUACCAUGAAAAACUUGCAAAAAAGAAAAAAAACAAAGAACAGAGAGCAGAGAUCAGCUGGAACAGAAACACAGAAGUAGAAAACCAGGAGCAGCAAAAACAAAAAAGGAGAAAAGAAAAAACAAAACAAAAAACUAAUAUCCUAUAAUCUAUUUCACUAUAAAAGCCAAAAACCAUUAUAACAAAAAAAAAGAAAAAAAGAAAUAGAAUACAAAAAAAAACCAAUAAAUUUAAAAAAAAACGAAGGUAGUUCUAUUUUUUAUUUUUUUUACUUUUUUAUUUCAAAAAUAUAAAGAAAAAAAUAAAAGAUUUAAUUUUUUUACCUGCAACACUCCGUUUUUCGCCGC
Molecule: long non-coding RNA, 783 nt
Filed under: Gossypium raimondii (Peruvian cotton)
Lineage: Eukaryota; Viridiplantae; Streptophyta; Magnoliopsida; Malvales; Malvaceae
Description: long non-coding RNA (GRAI_LNC001847)
Source: RNAcentral